This 468-nucleotide ribosomal RNA is filed under the name uncultured bacterium. RNAcentral describes it as "partial 16S ribosomal RNA". It matches the Rfam family "Bacterial small subunit ribosomal RNA", at positions 28 to 507 of the family's 1533-position model. The record is from RNAcentral.
GACGAACGCUGGCGGCGUGCUUAACACAUGCAAGUCGAACGGAAAGGCCCUGCUUUUGUGGGGUGCUCGAGUGGCGAACGGGUGAGUAACACGUGAGUAACCUGCCCUUGAUUUUGGGAUAACUUCAGGAAACUGGGGCUAAUACCGGAUAGGAGCUCCUGCUGCAUGGUGGGGGUUGGAAAGUUUCGGCGGUUGGGGAUGGACUCGCGGCUUAUCAGCUUGUUGGUGGGGUAGUGGCUUACCAAGGCUUUGACGGGUAGCCGGCCUGAGAGGGUGACCGGCGACAUGGGGACUGAGAGACGGCGCAGACGCGUACGGGAGGCAGCAGGGGGGAAUAUGGCAGAAUGGGCGGAAGCCUGAGGCAGAAACGCCGCGUGCGGGAUGACGGCCUUCGGGUGGUAAACCGCUUUCGCAGGUGACGAAGCGUGAGUGACGGUAAUGGGUAAAGAAGCACCGGCUAACUACGUG